This 301-nucleotide ribosomal RNA is filed under the name uncultured bacterium. RNAcentral describes it as "partial 16S ribosomal RNA". It matches the Rfam family "Bacterial small subunit ribosomal RNA", at positions 509 to 807 of the family's 1533-position model. The record is from RNAcentral.
CAGCCGCCACGGUAAUACGUAGGGUGCGAGCGCUAAUCGGAAUUACUGGGCGUAAAGCGUGCGCAGGCGGUUAUAUGAGACAGAUGUGAAAUCCCCGGGCUCAACCUGGGACCUGCAUUUGUGACUGUAUAGCUAGAGUACGGUAGAGGGGGAUGGAAUUCCGCGUGUAGCAGUGAAAUGCGUAGAUAUGCGGAGGAACACCGAUGGCAAAGGCAAUCCCCUGGACCUGUACUGACGCUCAUGCACGAAAGCGUGGGGAGCAAACAGGAUUAGAUACCCCAGUAGUCCCUGUCUCUUAUAC